This 253-nucleotide ribosomal RNA is filed under the name uncultured bacterium. RNAcentral's name for it is "partial 16S ribosomal RNA". It matches the Rfam family "Bacterial small subunit ribosomal RNA", at positions 524 to 776 of the family's 1533-position model. The record is from RNAcentral.
UACGUAGGGACCAAGCGUUGUUCGGAUUUACUGGGCGUAAAGGGCGCGUAGGCGGCGUGACAAGUCACUUGUGAAAUCUCUGAGCUUAACUCAGAACGGCCAAGUGAAACUGUUGUGCUGGAGUGCAGAAGGGGCAAUCGGAAUUCUUGGUGUAGCGGUGAAAUGCGUAGAUAUCAAGAGGAACACCUGAGGUGAAGACGGGUUGCUGGGCUGACACUGACGCUGAUGCGCGAAAGCUAGGGGAGCAAACGGG